Molecule: unclassified non-coding RNA, 148 nt
Filed under: uncultured fungus
Lineage: Eukaryota; Fungi
Description: sequence contains ITS1
Source: RNAcentral
UUGAUUCUCGUUUUUUUGAUUCAGACAAAUACUUUUUGGCAUAAAUGAGGCGACUUGGCGCCAAAGCACAUCUCGCUUCCACAGGUUUGAAGUCGAAGGCCAAAAAAGCCAUUCGUUAAUGAUCCCUCCGCAGGUUCACCUACGGAGA